RNAcentral lists this ribosomal RNA (666 nucleotides) under uncultured bacterium. RNAcentral describes it as "bacterial SSU rRNA". It matches the Rfam family "Bacterial small subunit ribosomal RNA", at positions 1 to 667 of the family's 1533-position model. The record is from RNAcentral.
UUAGAGUUUGAUCCUGGCUCAGAUUGAACGCUAGCGGGAUGCCUUACACAUGCAAGUCGAACGGCAGCACGGACUUCGGUCUGGUGGCGAGUGGCGAACGGGUGAGUAAUGUAUCGGAACGUGCCCAGUAGCGGGGGAUAACUACGCGAAAGCGUAGCUAAUACCGCAUACGCCCUACGGGGGAAAGCAGGGGAUCGUAAGACCUUGCACUAUUGGAGCGGCCGAUAUCGGAUUAGCUAGUUGGUGGGGUAACGGCUCACCAAGGCGACGAUCCGUAGCUGGUUUGAGAGGACGACCAGCCACACUGGGACUGAGACACGGCCCAGACUCCUACGGGAGGCAGCAGUGGGGAAUUUUGGACAAUGGGGGAAACCCUGAUCCAGCCAUCCCGCGUGUGCGAUGAAGGCCUUCGGGUUGUAAAGCACUUUUGGCAGGAAAGAAACGUCAUGGGUUAAUACCCCGUGAAACUGACGGUACCUGCAGAAUAAGCACCGGCUAACUACGUGCCAGCAGCCGCGGUAAUACGUAGGGUGCAAGCGUUAAUCGGAAUUACUGGGCGUAAAGCGUGCGCAGGCGGUUCGGAAAGAAAGAUGUGAAAUCCCAGAGCUUAACUUUGGAACUGCAUUUUUAACUACCGGGCUAGAGUGUGUCAGAGGGAGGUGGAAU